This 466-nucleotide ribosomal RNA is filed under the name uncultured bacterium. RNAcentral's name for it is "partial 16S ribosomal RNA". It matches the Rfam family "Bacterial small subunit ribosomal RNA", at positions 28 to 507 of the family's 1533-position model. The record is from RNAcentral.
GAUGAACGCUGGCGGUGUGCUUAACACAUGCAAGUCGAACGGUGAAAGCGAGCUUGCUCUCUGGAUCAGUGGCGAACGGGUGAGUAACACGUGAGCAAUCUGCCCCUGACUCUGGGAUAAGCGCUGGAAACGGCGUCUAAUACCGGAUACGCGCUGCGAACGCCUCUUCAGCAGCUGGAAAGAACUUCGGUCAGGGAUGAGCUCGCGGCCUAUCAGCUAGUUGGUUAGGUAACGGCUCACCAAGGCGUCGCCGGGUAGCCGGCCUGAGAGGGUGACCGGCCACACUGGGACUGAGACACGGCCCAGACUCCUACGGGAGGCAGCAGUGGGGAAUAUUGCACAAUGGGCGAAAGCCUGAUGCAGCAACGCCGCGUGAGGGACGACGGCCUUCGGGUUGUAAACCUCUUUUAGCAGGGAAGAAGCGAAAGUGACGGUACCUGCAGAAAAAGCACCGGCUAACUACGUG